UGGGGAAUAUUGCACAAUGGGCGCAAGCCUGAUGCAGCAACGCCGCGUGAGGGACGACGGCCUUCGGGUUGUAAACCUCUUUUAGUAGGGAAGAAGCGAAAGUGACGGUACCUGCAGAAAAAGCACCGGCUAACUACGUGCCAGCAGCCGCGGUAAUACGUAGGGUGCGAGCGUUGUCCGGAAUUAUUGGGCGUAAAGAGCUCGUAGGCGGUCUGUCGCGUCUGCUGUGAAAACCCGAGGCUCAACCUCGGGCCUGCAGUGGGUACGGGCAGACUAGAGUGCGGUAGGGGAGAAUGGAAUUCCUGGUGUAGCGGUGGAAUGCGCAGAUAUCAGGAGGAACACCGAUGGCGAAGGCAGUUCUCUGGGCCGUAACUGACGCUGAGGAGCGAAAGCGUGGGGAGCGAACAGGAUUAGAUACCCUGGUAGUCCACGCCGUAAACGUUGGGCGCUAGAUGUGGGGACCAUUCCACGGUUUCCGUGUCGCAGCU
Molecule: ribosomal RNA, 488 nt
Filed under: uncultured bacterium
Lineage: Bacteria
Description: partial 16S ribosomal RNA
Rfam family: Bacterial small subunit ribosomal RNA
Source: RNAcentral